RNAcentral lists this long non-coding RNA (233 nucleotides) under Mytilus galloprovincialis (Mediterranean mussel). The record is from RNAcentral. Lineage: Eukaryota; Metazoa; Mollusca; Bivalvia; Mytilida; Mytilidae.
GGCAUUGUUUAUUUCAUGAUGUGUUUGAACUGGGGUGUCCUUUCGCGCACUUUCCGCCCAAUAGUGUCCCAAAUAUGCUCGAUAUGGUUCAAAUCCGGGCUACGAUCGGGCCAAGGAAGAUGAAACUGAAUUCCAUUUGAACAUUGGAUCUUCCUCCACGAUGCUAAUUUCCAACUUUGGCGAGCUCUGCACUACAUUGGAUACGGAAAACUGUGUGUCUGUUCGUUAGCAAA